GAUGAACGCUGGCGGCGUGCCUAAUACAUGCAAGUCGAGCGAACGGACGAGAAGCUUGCUUUUCUGAUGUUAGCGGCGGACGGGUGAGUAACACGUGGAUCACCUACCUAUAAGACUGGGAUAACUUCGGGAAACCGGAGCUAAUACCGGAUAAUAUUUUGAACCGCAUGGUUCAAAAGUGAAAGACGGUCUUGCUGUCACUUAUAGAUGGAUCCGCGCUGCAUUAGCUAGUUGGUAAGGUAACGGCUUACCAAGGCAACGAUGCAUAGCCGACCUGAGAGGGUGAUCGGCCACACUGGAACUGAGACACGGUCCAGACUCCUACGGGAGGCAGCAGUAGGGAAUCUUCCGCAAUGGGCGAAAGCCUGACGGAGCAACGCCGCGUGAGUGAUGAAGGUCUUCGGAUCGUAAAACUCUGUUAUUAGGGAAGAACAUAUGUGUAAGUAACUGUGCACAUCUUGACGGUACCUAAUCAGAAAGCCACGGCUAACUACGUG
RNAcentral lists this ribosomal RNA (497 nucleotides) under uncultured bacterium. RNAcentral describes it as "partial 16S ribosomal RNA". It matches the Rfam family "Bacterial small subunit ribosomal RNA", at positions 28 to 507 of the family's 1533-position model. The record is from RNAcentral.